UUGUUAAAAUAAAUAUAGGUCAAAGAUUUAUUUAACUCCUGAGUGCAUGGGCCAGCAUUUGGAAAGAGAUGUACUCUUAGAUUCUUGUGGAAAAUUUGUACUGAUGAAAUCUUCAGUUGAAAAACCAUGAUGAGGGCUGGAGACAUGGCUCAGCAGUGAAGAGCAUUUGGCUUUCUUCCAGAGGUCCUGAGUUCACUUCCCAGCACCCAGACAACACCAGCUCAAUGCCCUCUUCUGGUUUGUAGGCAGACAUGCAGGCAAAGCACUUGUGUACAUUAAACAAACAAACAAACAAAUAGAAAGAAGGAAAAAAAGAAAAGAAAAAGAAACACCACGAUGAAGUUCAAUGUCAUCUUCAGCUACACAGUGAGUGUGGUGAUAUUUUAUUUGUGCUUUAAUAAAUAAAGCUUACCUGGAGAUCAGAGGAAAUAGCAAGCCAUUUUAAGCAAACAAAGAAGUCGGGCAAUGUAGUACACGCCCUUAAUCCUAUCAGUUGGCAGGCAGGAUCUCUGUAUGUUCAAGGCCACACUGGAAACAGAGCCAGGUGUGGUGGCACCUGCCUCAAAUACCAAAACUAGUUAACCAUGGAGGUCUGGAGGUCUGUACAGACAGACAGGAAGUGACAGAGCUAGGUAGGAAGAGGAAGUGAUGUAGCUGAACAGAGAGAGCAAAUCAGAUGGCAGAACAGCAAGGCAUAUAGACGUGGGUAGACAGGAAGUAACUCGCUUUUGGAAGCUGCAGAGUUGGUGAGGUAGAUCGAGAGGCUCAACCUUCCAGGGGGCAGAGGAGCUGGGGUGAAGAUAUGCUGAGCUGUGGGCAGUGGGAUGGUCACUCCCUCAUGGAAAGUGGUAAGCCUCAUGGAAAGAUGAGAAAUCAGAUCUGCACAAUGACAGGUAGAUGGAGUAACUUCCUCAGACAUGCAAGGAAGCAAUCUGUUUUCUCCAAUGGAGUGUCACAGGGUAUGUCAACCACAUUUUAGGGUGGGCCCUGUGCCCAGAAGUAGUUCCCAACAAAAAACCAACUCAGUGGCAUUUUUUGUGGACUUUUUGUUUCAUUUGCUUUGACUUUUUUGUCUUAUUAUUCUUAUAUUCAUAUCUUCAAUAUGUUGCAUGAAAAACAAUUUUAAUAAAAAUAAUUUAAAAGAUAUGAAAGGAAGCAGGAGCCCCAAGCUAAGCAUUACUACCAGCAUCAUUAGCAUCAAUAUUAGUACCAGUGUUAUCAGCUAAUUUAACAUCAGCAUCAGCACCAGUAUCCUCAGCAUCAGUACCAGCAUCAUCACUUUCAUUAUCAUAUCAUCAUCAUCAUCAUCAGCAGCAGCAGCAGCAGCCUACAUUAUAGAAGAAAGCAGUAAAAUUCGAUCUGGGCACAUUCUCAAAGCAGGUGUUUCCAAUGCAGCCAAAUGAGGCUGCACAUAGAAUUUUGUGUUCUGACAAAUUGCCAUGGUAAUCACACUGUUCUUCUUCAUUUGACAGCUUAUUAUCUAGCAGUCGAAGUAAUUGGGGAAAUUUUUGUUUCUGUGUUACAUGGAUCUAACAGUGGGAAUAUCAGGGAAGGGGACGGAGGGAGGCAGAGGCAUCAUGCUUCAAGGCUUGGAAGAGGAAGAGGCAAAGAGAGAGGUAGAGACAGAGAGGAAGAGGGAAAGAGAGAGGGAGGGGCUGAGUGGAGGGGAGGGCAGGCACAAGGGAGGGAGGAGGCAGAGCAGAAGAGAAGAAAGGAAGAGAGAAAGUGGAAGACAGAGUCUGGCUGAUGCUAACAGGAAAAGAUUGGAGGAUGCAGAAAGGAGGAGGCUUAGGGUCCCCGAGGGCAUCAGCCCCAAUUGAGAGGCAGCUGGGCAGAGUCUAAUCAGGGCCUGUGGUUGGCAGGUUCCACAGAGAACAUCUGUGUCUUUCCUCAGUAAGAUAAGGUUGCAGGCAGUUUCCCUUUGAGCCUCAGAAGCCCCUACAGGGAGCAGCUGCACUUGAGUGUCGAGACAGCAUGCAGACACUGUCCUCUGUUGCACAUCCAGGGGGCCCAGGUCAUCUACUGGAGGGGGAAAAUUCCUAGUCUGACUCAAGCUACAUGCUUCCAUUUCAAAGCACAUCGUUGACUUUCCCUGGAGAAAUAAGGAUCUGGCCAUCAGGACAACUGAGAGCAGCAGACACUUUUAUGAACUUCACUUUCCGUAUGAUGCUCCCACUGUGCCUGCGGUAGAUGGUCAAGAAGGGGCCAGUAAAUCAUCACUGAGUUGUCA
Long non-coding RNA from Peromyscus californicus insignis, 2230 nucleotides. RefSeq lists it as uncharacterized. The transcript is spliced from 2 exons. Lineage: Eukaryota; Metazoa; Chordata; Mammalia; Rodentia; Cricetidae. The record is from RefSeq and is a predicted model, not a curated record.